UGUAACACGUAUUUCAGCUGAUCAGUGCAAUGACAAACAAGCUGGACAUCAAAGCAGAGCCUUUACCCCAGGAUGAUGCUGAGGGUGUGGACUCGGAUGAAUGGGGCGAUGAUUAAAGAAGGCAGCUAAUAGUCUCCAACAUUCCAUGUGUGCAAUAUCUCAGCGAUAUGUGUGCUUUAUUUUAUUGUAAAUCUAAAUAGGCCUGCUCAAUGAACAUGCAUUUAACCCCCUUUUCACAGAGAACGGCCAUCAACAUAAAGGUUUAAUAUGAUUUGUCAUAUAAUUACAUCACUGUGAUAUAUGAUGAUGAAGAUGAUGAUAAUGAAGACGGUAGAACUUUACCUAGGUUAUCAUAUUUAUGCUACAAAUUGUAAAUAGACCUUAUUUUUGUCCCCUACCGGUGAAACCGGAGGGGACUUAUGGUUUGCGCUCUGUUUGUCAGUCAGUCUGUCUGUCUGUCACAUUUUUCUGGAUCCUGCCAUUACUUAAAAAGUUCUUCAUAUUUUUCAUGAAACUUGCAACAUGGAUUGAUGGCAAUAUGGACAUUAUGCACGUAAUUUCAUUUGUUCCUACGUCAAAAAUUGUGGUUGCUAUGGCAACCAAAAGAACUAAACAAAAAAAAAACUCUGAAAAUGGUGGAAUUUCUUACAAUGGUGGAGCCGG
This is a long non-coding RNA of Dreissena polymorpha, 663 nucleotides long. RefSeq lists it as uncharacterized. The transcript is spliced from 2 exons. The record is from RefSeq and is a predicted model, not a curated record. Lineage: Eukaryota; Metazoa; Mollusca; Bivalvia; Myida; Dreissenidae.